GCCGGUGUAGCUCAAUUGGUAGAGCAACUGACUUGUAAUCAGUAGGUUGGGGGUUCAAGUCCUAGAGCAACUGACUUGUAAUCAGUAGGUUGGGGGUUCAAGUCCUCUGGCCGGCACCA
Molecule: transfer RNA, 119 nt
Filed under: Bacillus amyloliquefaciens
Lineage: Bacteria; Bacillati; Bacillota; Bacilli; Caryophanales; Bacillaceae
Description: tRNA-OTHER
Rfam family: tRNA
About the family: Transfer RNA (tRNA) molecules are approximately 80 nucleotides in length. Their secondary structure includes four short double-helical elements and three loops (D, anti-codon, and T loops). Further hydrogen bonds mediate the characteristic L-shaped molecular structure. tRNAs have two regions of fundamental functional importance: the anti-codon, which is responsible for specific mRNA codon recognition, and the 3' end, to which the tRNAs corresponding amino acid is attached (by aminoacyl-tRNA synthetases). tRNAs cope with the degeneracy of the genetic code in two manners: having more than one tRNA (with a specific anti-codon) for a particular amino acid; and 'wobble' base-pairing, i.e. permitting non-standard base-pairing at the 3rd anti-codon position.
Source: RNAcentral